UUGUAGCUCAGUUGGUUAGAGCGCGCGCUUGAUAAGCGUGAGGUCGGAAGUUCAAGUCUUCCCAGGCCCACCAUUUUGAUCGAGUGCGGAGCAUUCGUCUUCUGGUACGGGGCCAUAGCUCAGCUGGGAGAGCGCGUGCUUUGCAAGCAUGAGGUCGUCGGUUCGAUCCCGUCUGGCUCCACCAGAUGGAAUUGAAGCUCGAGAAUGCCUCGUCAAAUUCGUCCGCGAAACAUCACUUCGCACUCAUUGGUCCGGAUGGACGGUGACGUGCGUGUUUUCUGACAUCGUAAAGAGGAGAUCGAUCCGAGUUUGGAUCUGCGAAGCAAUUCGCGGGUACCAUUCCUAAUCUCCAGAUCGUUUUCGGCGCUCGUUCAUCGCUACUCAUCGCAAGAUGAGUGAGAUGAGUGAGUUGUAAAACGAUCUUUGUAGCGAAGCUUGACCGCCUCGCUAUCGGGCCGAUCUUACGAAGCAAGCUGGUCUUUCUAGUCAAUGUCCGGCUGUGCAAUCGCAUUCAUCGAGGAUGCGCGCCUGGGACUUCGGUCUUUGGGCAAUUACACAGACAACAUUCUGCCGAGUGUGUGGACAUUGAUAAUGAGAGCAAUCAAGUGCCUUAAGGGUGUUCGGUGGAUGCCUUGGCGCUGAGAGGCGAUGAAGGACGUGCUACGCUGCGAUAAGCCGUGGGGAGCUGCGAAGAAGCUUUGAUCCACGGAUUUCCGAAU
RNAcentral lists this unclassified non-coding RNA (719 nucleotides) under Bradyrhizobium sp. STM 3059. RNAcentral's name for it is "partial 16S-23S ribosomal RNA intergenic spacer". The stretch from base 600 to 719 matches the Rfam family "Bacterial large subunit ribosomal RNA", at positions 1 to 119 of the family's 2925-position model. Lineage: Bacteria; Pseudomonadati; Pseudomonadota; Alphaproteobacteria; Hyphomicrobiales; Nitrobacteraceae. The record is from RNAcentral.